UACGUAGGGCGCAAGCGUUGUCCGGAAUUAUUGGGCGUAAAGAGCUCGUAGGCGGCCAGUUGCGUCUGCUGUGAAAUCCCGGGGCUCAACCCCGGGCGUGCAGUGGAUACGGGCUGGCUAGAGGCAGGCAGGGGAGAACGGAAUUCCCGGUGUAGUGGUGAAAUGCGUAGAUAUCGGGAGGAAUACCAGUGGCGAAGGCGGCUUCCUGGCCUGUUCUUGACGCUGAGGCGCGAAAGCUAGGGUAGCAAACGGG
RNAcentral lists this ribosomal RNA (253 nucleotides) under uncultured bacterium. RNAcentral's name for it is "partial 16S ribosomal RNA". It matches the Rfam family "Bacterial small subunit ribosomal RNA", at positions 524 to 776 of the family's 1533-position model. The record is from RNAcentral.